UACGUAGGUGGCGAGCGUUAUCCGGAAUGAUUGGGCGUAAAGGGUGCGUAGGCGGCCUGCUAAGUCUGGAGUGAAAGGUACCGGCUCAACCGGUACAGGCUCUGGAAACCGGCGGGCUAGAGAGCAGGAGAGGGCGGUGGAACUCCAUGUGUAGCGGUAAAAUGCGUAGAUAUAUGGAAGAACACCAGUGGCGAAGGCGGCUCUCUGGUCUGUAACUGACGCUGAGGUUCGAAAGCGUGGGUAGCAAACAGG
This 252-nucleotide ribosomal RNA is filed under the name uncultured bacterium. RNAcentral describes it as "partial 16S ribosomal RNA". It matches the Rfam family "Bacterial small subunit ribosomal RNA", at positions 524 to 776 of the family's 1533-position model. The record is from RNAcentral.